CCGAGUUUACAACUCCCAACCCCUGUGAACAUACCCACUUGUUGCCCCUGCCCGGCGAUCAGCCCGCUCCGGUAAAACGGGACGGCCCGCCAGAGGACCCCUAAACUCUGUUUCUAUAUGUAACUUCUGAGUAAAACCAUAAUAAAUAAAACUUC
This 155-nucleotide unclassified non-coding RNA is filed under the name soil metagenome. Its description in RNAcentral is "partial internal transcribed spacer 1". The record is from RNAcentral.